Molecule: non-coding RNA, 988 nt
Organism: Ciona intestinalis (vase tunicate)
Lineage: Eukaryota; Metazoa; Chordata; Ascidiacea; Phlebobranchia; Cionidae
Source: RefSeq, a predicted model, not a curated record
UCUGCACGACAUACUAUGCUAUCCAGUUUAGGUUGGAAAAUAUUUUUAAAACUUAGAAGUAAAACAAAUGAUGAUUCCACUUUAAACUAUAAUGCCUGGUCCACAUUUAAUAUGCAUAAGACUAAACACUAUGUUUGAUUUGUUGUAUUUGUGAAGCCAUGAACCCCUUUAGUGGACAAAUGGAUAAUUCCUGUUAAACAAGCCACACAUAAUGGAAGAUAUAAACACAAUUGUUCAUGCUUGGUAACUUGACAGUGAGCAUGAGGUGUACGAAUCCACUCCAUAUAAGGCAAUAUGAUAUCCGUGUUUCAUAGGCAACGAACCUGGGGUGGCAGGGUGGGCAGGCAAACCCCCAAUUUUUCUCUUCAUUAAUCAGUAAAUAUUACAAGCAAUAAGUUAGAUUUGUUUCACAGGAUUGUGUCUAACUAUCCCUGCCUCCCCUGUUAGCCUUGUAUAUACAUAGGUUUGGCACCUAUGGUGUUCUUACUUUAAACUAAGUCAUGCGAAGAUAAAUAAGUGAAAUAUUAUUAACACCCAUUGUAUUCCCAGCCAAACAAUCGAACGUCGAGGAUUGUUGGAAACUUUGCAAACAUGCUCGCUGUCGGUCGGUCGUCUUCAUUCAUAAAUUUGCUGCCGAGGGAAAGAUUUGCCCGAAACCUGCAAAACAGCGGGGCAGGGAAGCUUCAUAUCUGCUCAACCCUCAAUACAAGUUUGUCUUUAUCAGGAUAUUAAUAUGAAAGCAUGGUAGUCUAAAAUGUACAGGACAUUGGUACACAACAUAUUUGAACAAUGAGAGGAUCAUGGAGGGAAGAUAUAGAAUUGAUGGAAGAAUCGCCUUUGUUAGGUCCUUAUCUUCGUGGAUUUGCUGGCAUUCUGCAAAUGCGUUGUAUAGUCGCCUGUGCACCCGUGUUGUUGUAUUCUUGCAUUAAUUGUUUGGCUUCAUCCAGUAGUUUCAAUGCUUCCGUGGGUUUUCCAUUCUUUGUCAGUG